This 754-nucleotide long non-coding RNA is filed under the name Polistes fuscatus (common paper wasp). RNAcentral's name for it is "uncharacterized LOC122517027". Lineage: Eukaryota; Metazoa; Arthropoda; Insecta; Hymenoptera; Vespidae. The record is from RNAcentral.
UUUACAAAAUAUUUACCUAUUGUUUAUAUAUUAUGAACGAUUAACCUAUUUCUUUUCACUACCCUAUAGGUUGUUACUUUGGAGAUCAACUUUAAUUAUAUCCCCCGCAGGUAUAUAUAUACCAACUUUACUUUCAUUUUUUUCAAAGUGUGCUUGCGCCUUGAAUUUGUUGAUGCGCAUGCAUAUAACAUAUCUACCACUCAUGACGUCACCAUUUUAUAAUUAUUCAAAGUGUAAUAAUUAUUUUCAACUAAUUAACGAUAAAUAAAAAAAUAUUUAAUAAAAUAAAGUUGAGGAGCCGGACAAACAAAAAAAUGGCGCGUGGCAAUUUUAUGUGAUCGACGGAGCGUCGGUAACAGCGUGUGUCUCGUACGAAUAAGACGAUCGGUGUGGAUGAGAGAGUCGAUACAAGCGUGCGUCUCAGUGCGUGGUCGGUGGAAGAAGACGGAAGAAUGUUGUUUAUAUAACCUACCAAACGUUGCGCAUGUUAUAACGGGAAUAUGAUAUACCUAAUAAAUAGAAUUUAAAAUUAUAAUGUUUCGAUUUUAGCAUAUUUUUCAUUUUUAUGUAAUUAUUUUAACGGACCUGCGCAAUGAUGACCUCGAGAGUAAAAUUUACCAGUAAUAUAAGUAGAGUGCAUUAGUGCAUUAAGAUUAUUGUUAAUUAAUCGAUAGAAGUGUCUAUUGUUGUCCAAAAGCUCGGAGAAUAUUAUCUGUGUACCAUCCUCUUCGAAAUCUACCAUUGAACUGGGUCA